This 428-nucleotide ribosomal RNA is filed under the name uncultured bacterium. RNAcentral's name for it is "partial 16S ribosomal RNA". It matches the Rfam family "Bacterial small subunit ribosomal RNA", at positions 354 to 796 of the family's 1533-position model. The record is from RNAcentral.
GUGGGGAAUAUUGGGCAAUGGGCGCAAGCCUGACCCAGCAACGCCGCGUGAAGGAAGAAGGCUUUCGGGUUGUAAACUUCUUUUACCAGGGACGAAACAAAUGACGGUACCUGGUGAAUAAGCCACGGCUAACUACGUGCCAGCAGCCGCGGUAAUACGUAGGUGGCGAGCGUUAUCCGGAUUUAUUGGGUGUAAAGGGCGUGUAGGCGGGACAGCAAGUCAGAUGUGAAAACCAGAGGCUCAACCUCUGGCCUGCAUUUGAAACUGUUGUUCUUGAGUGUCGGAGAGGUAAUCGGAAUUCCGUGUGUAGCGGUGAAAUGCGUAGAUAUACGGAGGAACACCAGUGGCGAAGGCGGAUUACUGGACGAUAACUGACGCUGAGGCGCGAAAGCGUGGGGAGCAAACAGGAUUAGAUACCCCAGUAGUCC